GUACUGAUGAAGAGUCUCAGACUAGGACGAAAGAUAUGUUCAGUAC
Molecule: non-coding RNA, 46 nt
Organism: Trichobilharzia regenti
Lineage: Eukaryota; Metazoa; Platyhelminthes; Trematoda; Strigeidida; Schistosomatidae
Source: Rfam